RNA transcript from Spodoptera frugiperda (fall armyworm), 1799 nucleotides. It is a transcript of the gene named tRNA N(3)-methylcytidine methyltransferase METTL6, with no coding region annotated. Lineage: Eukaryota; Metazoa; Arthropoda; Insecta; Lepidoptera; Noctuidae. The record is from RefSeq and is a predicted model, not a curated record. The transcript has 12 exons.
UUCAUCUUUCAAAACUCUUGAGGUUAGGUUGUGAUCGGUAUCGUAAUAUAUUUGUAGAAAUGUGUUUCUUAGAGAUAAAUGAAAUGAAAUAUAAAUUAAUCUGAGAAAAUUAGCUACAAAAUAUCCAUGUGGAUUCAUAACAGACCCACAAAAACAAGUAGAAAUCAAGAUGGAAAUCGAUGAAACUGAACGUGUUGGCGAAAACGGCGAUAUUUUCAUUCACCGCUUGAAAGUACUCACUGACGAAGAAAAACAGCGAUUGGAAGCGCAGAAUUCACGAAUUAUACCAGAAGCCAAAGCUGUACGUUUAGAGAAAGAAGCGAAGCGUCAUUGGGACAUAUUCUACAAGAGAAAUGAAACCAAAUUCUUCAAGGACCGGCAUUGGACCACACGUGAGUUUCAAGAGCUUAUAAACUUCGAGCCGGAUGAUAAGAUCACGUUUCUAGAACUAGGAUGUGGCGUGGGCAAUAUGAUAUUUCCGCUGGUCGAGGAAGGUUUCUCCAAUUUCCAUUUCUAUGCAUGUGACUUCUCGCCACGUGCGGUGGAGUUUGUAAAGGCCAACAAAUUGUUUGACGAGAGCCGGAUGAAAGCUUUUUGCGCCGAUCUUACUACUGAUGAUUUAUUUGAGAACAUGGAAGAAGGCUGCGUGGAUAUAGCUAGUCUGAUAUUCGUGUUAUCUGCAAUCCACCCGGACUCGUGGUCGCAAGUAGCCAAGGUCGCGUACCGGGCGCUUCGUCCCGGGGGCGUAUUGUUGUUUCGCGACUAUGGGCGAUAUGAUAUGGCACAGCUAAGAUUCAAGCCAGGACACAAGAUCGCUGAGAAUUUCUACAUGAGGCAAGAUGGGACCAGAAGCUACUACUUCACGGAGGAAGAGCUACAGAAGGUAUUCACUGAAGCUGGGUUUGAGAUCCUCAUGAACACAUAUGUACAACGCCGGACCGUCAACUUCAAAGAGGGAAUUGAUGUGCCUCGCAUUUUUGUGCAGGGAAAAUAUAGGAAACCCGUUAAAGGUUGAAAGAAUGUCUGCCAUCAGGAAACUGCAAUGGAAAUACAUGUGAUAUGGUCAGUGAGCACAGAGGUUGUGUCGAAAUCAUGAAUGCACUGGUUAUUCAGGACAACAGCAAGACUCCUGGUUCCAUGUGGCUUGAUGCAAAAGCUUGAUUAUCUGAGAAACAUCAACUGCUGGGUCAGUGCGAGUCAUAAGAAAAGCAAGGAGAAACAAGUAGUUUUUGGAUUAACUAUAAUGGUUACGAAUUGGAAGACACUGCUAAUAAGGUAAGAAUUAAAAUACAAUAUUUUCAAAAUUAUUAACAAUUGUAAAAACUCAAAUGAUGAUUUCAGAUAGGGACAUCUGAUUAUAAUGCUGUUAACAUAACUAUCCUCACUGAUAAAACAUUAAAAUAUAUUCAAUUUUUACAACAUUUGUCUUUUUUUCACAAAGUUAUUUCUCUUGUUACAGAUAUCCUGUACACCAACGGAUUCUCCCUAAAUAUAGCUGUAUUGAAUGAAUGCAGAUUACAAUGGAAUUACAAAUAUGAAAUUUGAAUUUUUGUGGAUUAAGUGAGAACUAAGAAGUUAAGAAAAGAAGGAGAAUUGAAAAGAGAAAAUCAUCCAAGAAAGAGGAGCUGGAUCAGUGGUGUCAUGCAAGCAAUGGAAAAGAAGCCUAGGAAUAAAAAGUAUAUCUCCAGAGUUAGUGCUGCUUAUGUUAUUAGAAAAGCUUGAAAGAAGUGGCUACUUAAAUAGCUGGUUUAUUUCGCGAGUUCCAGUGGAAAGCGACGCAUUGAAGAAACACUUAAAUG